RNAcentral lists this ribosomal RNA (482 nucleotides) under uncultured bacterium. RNAcentral describes it as "partial 16S ribosomal RNA". It matches the Rfam family "Bacterial small subunit ribosomal RNA", at positions 29 to 507 of the family's 1533-position model. The record is from RNAcentral.
ACGCACGCUGGCGGCGUGCUUAACACAUGCAAGUCGAACGAUGAAGCGGGUGCUUGCACUCGUGGAUUAGUGGCGAACGGGCGAGUAACACGUGAGUAACCUGUCCUUUUCUUUGGGAUAACGGCUGGAAACGGCUGCUAAUACUGGAUAUUCAGGCUGCAUCGCAUGGUGUGGUUUGGAAAGGUUUUUUCUGGGAUUGGGUGGGCUCGCGGCCUAUCAGCUUGUUGGUGGGGUGAUGGCUUACCAAGGCUUUGACGGGUAGCCGGCCUGAGAGGGUGGUCGGUCGCACUGGGACUGAGAUACGGCCCAGACUCCUACGGGAGGCAGCAGUGGGGAAUAUUGCACAAUGGACGAAAGUUUGAUGCAGCGACGCCGCGUGGAGGGUGUAGGCCUUCGGGUUGUGAACUCCUUUGUCUCGCGAAAAAGGCACAGUUUUGGCUGUGUUGAUGGUAGUGGGGGAAGAAGCGCCGGCUAACUACGUG